AGCGGCGGACGGGUGAGUAACACGUGGGCAACCUGCCUGUAAGACUGGGAUAACUUCGGGAAACCGGAGCUAAUACCGGAUAAUCCUUUUCCUCUCAUGAGGAAAAGCUGAAAGACGGUUUCGGCUGUCACUUACAGAUGGGCCCGCGGCGCAUUAGCUAGUUGGUGAGGUAACGGCUCACCAAGGCGACGAUGCGUAGCCGACCUGAGAGGGUGAUCGGCCACACUGGGACUGAGACACGGCCCAGACUCCUACGGGAGGCAGCAGUAGGGAAUCUUCCACAAUGGACGAAAGUCUGAUGGAGCAACGCCGCGUGAGCGAUGAAGGCCUUCGGGUCGUAAAGCUCUGUUGUUAGGGAAGAACAAGUACCGGAGUAACUGCCGGUACCUUGACGGUACCUAACCAGAAAGCCACGGCUAACUACGUGCCAGCAGCCGCGGUAAUACGUAGGUGGCAAGCGUUGUCCGGAAUUAUUGGGCGUAAAGCGCGCGCAGGCGGUCCUUUAAGUCUGAUGUGAAAGCCCACGGCUCAACCGUGGAGGGUCAUUGGAAACUGGGGGACUUGAGUGCAGAAGAGGAAAGCGGAAUUCCACGUGUAGCGGUGAAAUGCGUANAGAUGUGGAGGAACACCAGUGGCGAAGGCGGCUUUCUGGUCUGUAACUGACSCUGANGCSCGAAAGCGUGGGGGAGCAAACAGGAUUAGAUAC
Molecule: ribosomal RNA, 706 nt
Filed under: bacterium C1410-B1042
Lineage: Bacteria
Description: bacterial SSU rRNA
Rfam family: Bacterial small subunit ribosomal RNA
Source: RNAcentral